ACGUAGGUGGCAAGCGUUAUCCGGAUUUAUUGGGUUUAAAGGGUGCGUAGGCGGCUUUUUAAGUCGGUGGUUAAAGGUAGCAGCUCAACUGUUUUACAUGCCAUCGAAACUGAGAAGCUUGAGUUAUCAGGAGGCAGGCGGAAUUUCUGGUGUAGCGGUGAAAUGCAUAGAUACCAGAAGGAACACCUAUUGCGAAGGCAGCUUGCUGUAGAUAUACUGACGCUGAUGCACGAAAGCGUGGGGAUCAAACAGG
RNAcentral lists this ribosomal RNA (253 nucleotides) under uncultured bacterium. RNAcentral describes it as "partial 16S ribosomal RNA". It matches the Rfam family "Bacterial small subunit ribosomal RNA", at positions 525 to 776 of the family's 1533-position model. The record is from RNAcentral.